GCGUAUAUUAAGUUGCUGCAGUUAAAAAGCUCGUAGUUGAAUUUCGGGACCAUCAUGUCGGUCGCGCCUCGGUACGUACUGGCAUCGUCGGUUUCUCCCUUCUGACGAACCAUGAUGUCAUUUAUUUGGUGUCGUGGGGAAUCAGGACUGUUACUUUGAAAAAAUUAGAGUGUUUAAAGCAGGCUCACGCUUGAAUACAUUAGCAUGGAAUAAUGAAAUAGGACGUUUGAUUCUAUUUUGUUGGUUUCUAGGAUCGACGUAAUGAUUAAUAGGGAUAGUUGGGGGCAUUAGUAUUCAAUUGUCAGAGGUGAAAUUCUUGGAUUUAUUGAAGACUAACUACUGCGAAAGCAUUUGCCAAGGAUGUUUUCAUUAAUCAAGAACGAAAGUUAGGGGAUCGAAGACGAUCAGAUACCGUCGUAGUCUUAACCAUAAA
This 433-nucleotide ribosomal RNA is filed under the name uncultured Glomus. Its description in RNAcentral is "SSU rRNA". It matches the Rfam family "Eukaryotic small subunit ribosomal RNA", at positions 597 to 1036 of the family's 1831-position model. The record is from RNAcentral. Lineage: Eukaryota; Fungi; Glomeromycota; Glomeromycetes; Glomerales; Glomeraceae.